UCUGAAUGAGCUUCAACUAAG
Molecule: non-coding RNA, 21 nt
Filed under: Caenorhabditis elegans
Lineage: Eukaryota; Metazoa; Nematoda; Chromadorea; Rhabditida; Rhabditidae
Source: RNAcentral